RNAcentral lists this long non-coding RNA (461 nucleotides) under Chloebia gouldiae (Gouldian finch). RNAcentral's name for it is "Erythrura gouldiae (Gouldian finch) lncRNA (ENSEGOG00005001762.1)". Lineage: Eukaryota; Metazoa; Chordata; Aves; Passeriformes; Passeridae. The record is from RNAcentral.
GGGGAGGAGGAGGGGCUGCGGAGGCGGCGGGGCAGCGGCGACUCGCGGCGGCGGCGGCGGCGGCGCUGGAAGUUCCCGAGUUCCAGCGGCGCAAGAAUGGGAAGCAAGCGAAGCCAAAAUGCCCCCGGGGAGCGCGGCCCCGCUGGGGAGGCCCGGCGUUUCCACACGCCCGCCUCGCGGCUCCCCCGUAGCCCAGCCCGCUCCCUCGGAGCCAGCCAGGGACCUCGGGGCGCUGCCAGGGGCUUUGGCAUCUGCGCGAGCGAUGGAUAAGAGGAGUGUUGUCAACGGCAGGACGAGCGAUAGAUGCUGAUGCCUGGAACCUAUGGCUGAACUGGAGAUUUGUUACAAUAACCACUCUGUUUCAGCUUCAUUUUAAAUCCACGCUUCAAAUAAUUGAAAAGGAAAUGAAAUAAUAUUUAAUGUCUAAUAAAGAUUUUAAAAAUAAAGUGACUUGAAUCUUU